GCUUCUGCUUCUUCUUUUUCUUUAUGGGAAAUUAUGGCUGAUAUUUUGAGCAAUACCAACCUAGUUUCUUCUUCUUCUUAUUCUUCUUCUCCAUCCUUUAAUGCUUACCAAAACCACCAUAAAUAUAGUUCUUGCAGGCUCAGUGGGUUCCCUCGGAAAUUGAAUCCUCAAGCUUUGAGAUUGCAAACGAGAUCGCUUGGCAGUGAUUUUCAUGGAAAGAGGGUUGUUCUUCAAGAAAAACCAAGGCAAACCCAAUAGAGGGAUUUAUCUUCAAAGGUCAAUUAAGGCUCAGCAUACUGGCCUUAGACUCAAGAAUGCUGCAAAAUGGUGGGAUAAGGGAUUGCAAUCCAACAUGAAGGAGGUGACCUCUGCGCAAGAGCUUGUGGACUCCCUCCGGGACGCUGGGGAUAAACUUGUCAUUGUUGAUUUCUUCUC
RNAcentral lists this unclassified non-coding RNA (435 nucleotides) under Hevea brasiliensis (rubber tree). The record is from RNAcentral. Lineage: Eukaryota; Viridiplantae; Streptophyta; Magnoliopsida; Malpighiales; Euphorbiaceae.